UACGUAGGGUGCGAGCGUUCAUCGGAAUUACUGGGCGUAAAGCGUGCGUAGGCGGUUUGCCGUGUCCUGUGUGAAAGCCCCGGGCUCAACCUGGGAAUUGCAUGGGAAACUGGCAGGCUUGAGUGUGGCAGAGGAGGGUGGAAUUCCGCGUGUAGCAGUGAAAUGCGUAGAGAUGCGGAGGAACACCGAUGGCGAAGGCAGCCCUCUGGGCCAACACUGACGCUCAGGCACGAAAGCGUGGGGAGCAAACAGG
Molecule: ribosomal RNA, 253 nt
Filed under: uncultured bacterium
Lineage: Bacteria
Description: partial 16S ribosomal RNA
Rfam family: Bacterial small subunit ribosomal RNA
Source: RNAcentral